UAACGCUCUAGCCAGGCUGGUAUCAAUGCAGGCUAAAAGCCAUGGCUCGAGGCCUUCAGGUGCACCAAAUUUCGUGUAGAAGAGCCAAUUUCCUGCUGUUUUCUAGGACCCAGCAGUUGGUAACCAGGCAUUCGUAACAGCAGAGCUGAAGCCCUGUAGGAUGGAGGGUUUGCACCUGCAGGUUUUGCAACAGAACUUCUCAUUCUGAUAUAGCUGACAUAGACCAACAGACUGUUUCCCAGAAGCAGAGGAACACAUUCCCAGCUGCUGGACCCACUGAAGUCAG
This 286-nucleotide long non-coding RNA is filed under the name Gallus gallus (chicken). The record is from RNAcentral. Lineage: Eukaryota; Metazoa; Chordata; Aves; Galliformes; Phasianidae.